RNAcentral lists this long non-coding RNA (1912 nucleotides) under Cicer arietinum (chickpea). RNAcentral's name for it is "long non-coding RNA (CARI_LNC001651)". The record is from RNAcentral. Lineage: Eukaryota; Viridiplantae; Streptophyta; Magnoliopsida; Fabales; Fabaceae.
GAAAACUAAGAGACUUCAGCACUUCAAAUUGGUUUUGAUUGAUAAGUACGUACUCAAACACUUCCCAAUGAUUGUGCACAGCACGAUAAGUAGUUCGAUCUAACACGUCACACGUGUAUACAGGAAAUUAGACCCAACCUUCCAUUUUUGACAUUGUGUGCUAGUUGCUGGAUAUUGUGUAUAUUCUGUUGUAAUUUGUUAUUGGUAGAGACAUGGCUAUUGAAGUCCAAUUAUCUAUAAUAGUGACCUACAGUUGAAUAGCCACUGCUUGGAUAUAUAACCGUGAAUAUUGAGUCAUGGCAUGACCAUAACUUUUUGAGUACAGAACUUAAUAUUUUUGUAUUUUCACUGAUGCGUCAUUCAUGUAUCUCCUACUGAAGGCACUGCUUCAAACUUCAGAACAUUGAAUUAACGGUGUGGUUGUUUGAUCGGGUAGAUGUUGGAAAGGUGGUGAUUGAGAAGGAAGUGAAAAUAGGAAGUUUCUCUUUUAAUUUUUCGCUUUAUCAGAUAAAGUCUGAAGUGGGAUUAUUAGAAGCAAGUUUGUAACUAUUUUGCCCCAAGCAUUUAUUCACGCGAGACACACUCCAAUUCGUGCAACUGCUUUGUUCUCAUGUCAAAAAAAGUUUGAAUCUUCUCUGUCUAAAUCUCCUUAAAUUUCUCUCCAUUUCUUUUAAUUAUAUAUAUAUAUAUAUAUAUAUAUGUAUUUAUAUAUUUAAAGUAUUAUAUUAAAAAUUUAUAUCACAUAGAUUGUAAAAUUUAAAACAAAUUUAAAUUAUUUGAUAUAUAUCGAUACUGAAAGAAAUUCAUGGUGUUUAACCAUAGUGAAUAAAAUAUUAAUUUUGAUGUAUUUUAAUAAUAUAUUAAAUAAUUUUAAAUUUGUGUAAGAAUUUAAUUUUAUAUGUAUGAUUUAUAUAAUCUGUAUAUUGUUAUUUUAGCUGCAACUUUGUUUGUUGAGACAUCAAUUGCUACAUACAUGAUUUACACUAAUCAUCAAUAUGUCUUGUGUAGGUAACAGCUCCUGGAGGGAGAACUAGAGAUAGAAAGAGCGACUUGCUUGUUAUAGCUGAUAAGGGGAACUCCUUCAAAAUAAUACAUGCGGUGAUUAUUUAUUUCCUGAAUCAUUUGUUAUUUAUCUUUACAUUACACAUCCCUUAUAUGCCAUUUUAUAUGCAGAGUGAAAAAGAUGAUCCAACAACUGUGAUAGAAAGACGGGAGUGGGCCCAAUCCAGAGAAGAAAUGGAGAGGCAUCUUAGAAAACUAAGAGACUUCAGCACUUCAAAUUGGUUUUGAUUGAUAAGUACGUACUCAAACACUUCCCAAUGAUUGUGCACAGCACGAUAAGUAGUUCGAUCUAACACGUCACACGUGUAUACAGGAAAUUAGACCCAACCUUCCAUUUUUGACAUUGUGUGCUAGUUGCUGGAUAUUGUGUAUAUUCUGUUGUAAUUUGUUAUUGGUAGAGACAUGGCUAUUGAAGUCCAAUUAUCUAUAAUAGUGACCUACAGUUGAAUAGCCACUGCUUGGAUAUAUAACCGUGAAUAUUGAGUCAUGGCAUGACCAUAACUUUUUGAGUACAGAACUUAAUAUUUUUGUAUUUUCACUGAUGCGUCAUUCAUGUAUCUCCUACUGAAGGCACUGCUUCAAACUUCAGAACAUUGAAUUAACGGUGUGGUUGUUUGAUCGGGUAGAUGUUGGAAAGGUGGUGAUUGAGAAGGAAGUGAAAAUAGGAAGUUUCUCUUUUAAUUUUUCGCUUUAUCAGAUAAAGUCUGAAGUGGGAUUAUUAGAAGCAAGUUUGUAACUAUUUUGCCCCAAGCAUUUAUUCACGCGAGACACACUCCAAUUCGUGCAACUGCUUUGUUCUCAUGUCAAAAAAAGUUUGAAUCUUCUCUGUCUAAAUCUCCUUAAAUUUCUC